This is a non-coding RNA of Phrynosoma platyrhinos (Desert horned lizard), 74 nucleotides long. The record is from the annotation of a GenBank genome assembly. Lineage: Eukaryota; Metazoa; Chordata; Lepidosauria; Squamata; Phrynosomatidae.
GAGCCAGUGGGGUGUAGUGGUUUCAUUGCUGGACCAUGACUCCGGAGACCAGGGUUUGAUUCCCUGCUUGGUCA